Long non-coding RNA from Brachypodium distachyon (stiff brome), 2381 nucleotides. RefSeq lists it as uncharacterized. The transcript has 4 exons. Lineage: Eukaryota; Viridiplantae; Streptophyta; Magnoliopsida; Poales; Poaceae. The record is from RefSeq and is a predicted model, not a curated record.
UCCUUCAGUCGCCGUUCGUUUCCGUCACGGUAGCCGUCCAUUUGCGCGGCUAGAAUGCCACCGCACAGAGCCUAACUCGCUGAGCCCCUCACCCAGCAGCGCCUCUCUUUCUCUCUUUCUCCGCAGGUUCGAGCCUCCGCCGCCAACACCCUCCGGCCCCGUCGCCUCCAACUCACUCCCCGCCACCCGCGAGUUCCCUGAGUCCUCCGCCGUUCUCCAUUGGUGCGAUUGCUUGGCCGCGUUUCUUGCUGGGCGUGGGACUGCUGUUUGUGGAGGUGCCGCGGGGGUUGGGUUUCGGUGGGUUGUGCCUGCGCUUGGGCUUGGUGUCUUCGGCGAACGGUGGCUCCGGCGGUCCUGAUCUGUAGGUGGCGGCGGUCCUCGUUGGGUGCUUCGGUGGGGUGUGGAGUUGCUUCCGUCUGUGCUCUGCGAUUGCCGGCGUGGUUGGCAGGUUGCUAGUGUUCACCACCCGGUUAAAUGGGUUGCUGAGGAAGGCUGAAGUUUUGUCUCCAACAAGCGCUCAUUCCACAUGUUUCAACAGUACCUUCGUGUUUGCUCUUUUUUGUACAUAACUUUUAGGCCGUCAACUAUUUUGUGUUUUCUGCAGAAUAAAAUGUUUAGAUGCAGAAUAUAGCUGGAAGCAUCAUAUAUACAUGGACAGAAAUGGUGGUUUUUUGUCAUGUGAUAUCUGCACAUCUAAAGCGGUCAAGGAUGGUGAUGCCUAUUAAUGCACAAAUAACAGAUGUAAUAACAGGACUGCUAGCCCAAGGUAACAGAAAUGUCUAGGAAAAAUAUUUUGCAGUGCGUUACAUAUACAUGAUAAUGCUUAUUGUAGUACAAGCUGGCAGUGCUGGCAGCUGAUCAGGAUUGUUCUGUGGAGAUUUUUUUUUCCUGGCGAAAUUGCCAAAAACUUGGUUGGAAAGCCAGUAGAUAUUCUGGUGGCGGACUGACCGUCAUUACUUCCGAGAUUUCAGGGUCGACUGGAAGGAAUUACUUUGUUGGUGUGGCUGUCUCCCGUAGAGAUAAUAUAUCGUUUCAGGUUCUUAGGUUUUAUCCGGAAGGUGGAGCCGUUUUUUCAGAUUUUAUAUCACAUAUUGUUCCGGUUGGUGUAACGGCCUAUCCUGGGCCUUCUUCAGAGCUCAAGCGAAUUAGCUGAUGCAAUCUCCUUACUCCUUAGGAGACAGUGAGUUCACAGUUGAGUUGGUGUGAAUAAGUAUGCUGACGUACCAACCAUGUUUGUGAGAUCUCUCCAGUAUUUUUUAACUCAAAGUUUGCCCACUAGCUUACAGCUUGCCCAAGUGUCAAGUCACUGCUGAAUGGUUGGUGCUAUAUACAUGCUGCGGUAACCUGACAUGGUAAGGUAUUCAGCAAGGAGGAGCAAUGCAGAGACUAACGACGUGUGGAGAUGCAACCAACGCUAUGAAUACAGAAUCUUCAUUUUUGUGACAACUUUUCCAGCAGGCCUUUCUACAUCAAUAUUUCCUGAAUCAACUUUGUCAUGUGCAUUUUUUUAUGACAUUAUGACAACUCAAACAACACAGGUAUGGAAAGCAGGAUUAAUUAGAGAUGGCAUGACUGCCCUGUCAUGAUAUUAUCUGAACAAUUUUCAUAAUGGUGUGUGUCAAGUGGUGAAAUUAUUAUGUUUCUGGAUAGUGAGAUAGCUUCGUUCCUAUAUUCUGUUAUUAGUACAUCGUUAACUCAUUGCCCCUAAUUUCAUUGGUUCAAAUUGGUAACACAACCACAAUUUUGCACAGAGUUGCUCUUUUCUUUCCCAAGUUAAAUUGCAAUCAUCAGAGUAGAUCCCCAAGUUCUGUAGUUGUCCUGAUUCUUGUCUCUUUUUUGUAGAGUACGCAGACUCAUUAAACUAUGUACCCUUAUCACUUUUAAGUCAAACAAGAUUGAAUUAGAACUAAUGUUCUUUUCAACGCAAUGCUCUCUCGGACUCGUGUUCUUUUUUCUGCAAUGUUCUUUACUGAGGACUAAAGAUUUGCUUCUACUUAUUAAUGAACUAAUGAUUAUUAUUUUGUCUUCCUCAGUAUUUUCCCUAUAGAUUGUCAAUAAUCGUGCUUCAUGAUAAGUUUCCGCUGAUCAUGCCAAGAUGACAUUCAAGUGCUCAAAUUAAAAAAAAGCUCACCUACAACCAGCAUAAGUUGUCCAAUCGAUGGAGAUUGUAGGAUCAAUUAAGGAUGUUACUAAGUUUCUUAGGUUGCCGGUGUAUACUUAUUUUAGGUUAAGUUCUGUUAGCGAAUUAUGUAUUUCUUUGUGCAAACUAGAAGUUGGAUGUGAGCUCCGUAUACUAUGGGAAUUCCAAUCAAUGAGAUCAAAGUUUGUAUAGUAACAUUUAGCAAAUGGGUAUAAUACAAGUGUCAUAGUCUUUGCAGUAC